Chelonia mydas (Green sea turtle) is the source of this 794-nucleotide long non-coding RNA. RefSeq lists it as uncharacterized. Lineage: Eukaryota; Metazoa; Chordata; Testudines; Cheloniidae. The record is from RefSeq and is a predicted model, not a curated record. The transcript is spliced from 3 exons.
GAGAGAGAAGGACCUGGUAGCUCAGGAGCUCAGGGUACCAGGAGCAGAGCAAUGCUGGGGAAAGGCAAGAGGCGCUGGGGAGCUCCAGCCUGGUAAACCCCCAGGCUGCAGGCCUUGUUAAAGGCCAAAGCAGUGCUAUGAGACAUAUGAGCAAUGCUCCAUCAUUGGUAUUGUCCAGUUAUCCAGUGAGUCAUACAAUGAGGACCUGGCCAUGCAUUUCUCAUCUCCAGGCUGCAUUGUAUUUGAAGGUGAACGUGAAGAUGAUGCACAGGCUCCAGCUGAUACAGAAAGUGGCUGUUCACCUUCUGCAUGACUCAAGCCCUCAUGAGCACAUCAGGCCUCUGCUUAAGUCCUUCCACUGGUUUCCAGUCAGUAUGUGAUGGCCAUGUAAAGCCUUGGUCCUAAUUUCGAAAGCAAUCAAUAUCUUCCAGAGGAGAUCAGGUGAGCUGAGUCUGACCAUCUUUGGGAAACGUUGCAAAGCCUUGCUUUUUGAGGGGAAGUGACGCCACCACAAGCGACACUCACAUUUUGAACAUGCUUUUUAUUCCACUAUCCUCCGCGCUUUUUUAAAACAAAGUUACUCCAAGCAGAGUUCUGACCCCAUACAAUGAGAAGUGGCAGACUGCAUGAAGUCCACUAGGGACUUUGCUACAAGGAAGAUGUUCAGACACUCCAAUAAUGGACAGCAAUAUAAAACUCUUACAUAAAAAGUCAUGUGGAGAGUGAAAUCACAGUUGAACUGAUUACUUUGCAUAACACAAGGAACUGAACAAAGGUCUGUUCCAGAUUUUGCC